Molecule: ribosomal RNA, 497 nt
Filed under: uncultured bacterium
Lineage: Bacteria
Description: partial 16S ribosomal RNA
Rfam family: Bacterial small subunit ribosomal RNA
Source: RNAcentral
GAUGAACGCUGGCGGCGUGCCUAAUACAUGCAAGUCGAGCGAACAGACGAGGAGCUUGCUCCUCUGACGUUAGCGGCGGACGGGUGAGUAACACGUGGCUAACCUACCUAUAAGACUGGGAUAACUUCGGGAAACCGGAGCUAAUACCGGAUAAUAUAUUGAACCGCAUGGUUCAAUAGUGAAAGACGGUUUUGCUGUCAAUUAUAGAUGGAUCCGCGCCGCAUUAGCUAGUUGGUAAGGUAACGGCUUACCAAGGCAACGAUGCGUAGCCGACCUGAGAGGGUGAUCGGCCACACUGGAACUGAGACACGGUCCAGACUCCUACGGGAGGCAGCAGUAGGGAAUCUUCCGCAAUGGGCGAAAGCCUGACGGAGCAACGCCGCGUGAGUGAUGAAGGUCUUCGGAUCGUAAAACUCUGUUAUUAGGGAAGAACAAAUGUGUAAGUAACUAUGCACGUCUUGACGGUACCUAAUCAGAAAGCCACGGCUAACUACGUG